RNAcentral lists this ribosomal RNA (241 nucleotides) under uncultured bacterium. RNAcentral's name for it is "partial 16S ribosomal RNA". It matches the Rfam family "Bacterial small subunit ribosomal RNA", at positions 678 to 916 of the family's 1533-position model. The record is from RNAcentral.
UCGGUGAAAUGCGUAGAUAUCAAGAGGAACACCUGAGGUGAAGACGGGUUGCUGGGCUGACACUGACGCUGAGGCGCGAAAGCCAGGGGAGCAAACGGGAUUAGAUACCCCGGUGGUCCUGGCCCUAAACGAUGAAUACUUGGUGUCUGGAGUUAUAUGUGCUCCGGGUGCCGUCGCUAACGUUUUUAGUAUUCCGCCUGGGGAGUACGCUCGCAAGAGUGAAACUCAAAUGAAUUGACGG